UACGUAGAGUGCAGGCGUUAAUCGGAAUUACUGGGCGUAAAGCGGGCGCAGGCGGUUUGCUAAGACAGGUGUGAAAUCCCCGGGCUUAACCUGGGAACUGCGCUUGUAACUGGCAAGCUAGAGUGUGGCAGAGGGGGGUGGAAUUCCAGGUGUAGCAGUGAAAUGCGUAGAGAUCUGGAGGAACACCGAUGGCGAAGGCAGCCCCCUGGGCUAACACUGACGCUCAUGCACGAAAGCGUGGGGAGCAAACAGG
This 253-nucleotide ribosomal RNA is filed under the name uncultured bacterium. RNAcentral describes it as "partial 16S ribosomal RNA". It matches the Rfam family "Bacterial small subunit ribosomal RNA", at positions 524 to 776 of the family's 1533-position model. The record is from RNAcentral.